UUUGGUUAGCAUGCAAGCCCCAUAGGAAACAUUUUUUAAAUGAGUGGUUGGAGAAAAUGUUGGAGAAAAAUUACCAGCAAAGUUGGCUGGGGCCAUAAGGCUAGACUGCUGCUUAGACUCUGCAAGUUGUGUCUGUUGAAGCAGCAACAUAAGCUGGGAAUAUUGAUCUUUGCUUAAACCAGGUAUUAGAGACUCUGAAUCAGAAACCCCUUGAGAAUUGUCAGCACUA
RNAcentral lists this long non-coding RNA (229 nucleotides) under Nicotiana benthamiana. RNAcentral describes it as "long non-coding RNA (NBEN_LNC001049)". Lineage: Eukaryota; Viridiplantae; Streptophyta; Magnoliopsida; Solanales; Solanaceae. The record is from RNAcentral.